UACGUAGGGCGCAAGCGUUGUCCGGAUUCACUGGGCUUAAAGGGUGCGCAGGCGGCCGGUCAAGUCGGAGAUGAAAUCGUGGGGCUCAACCCUGCGGCUGUCUCCGAUACUGACUGGCUGGAGUGGGGGCGAGGCGGCCGGAAUGGAUGGUGUAGCGGUGAAAUGCGUAGAGAUCAUCCGGAACGCCGAUUGCGAAGGCAGGCCGCCAGCCCCGCACUGACGCUCAGGCACGAAAGCGCGGGUAGCGAACAGG
Molecule: ribosomal RNA, 253 nt
Filed under: uncultured bacterium
Lineage: Bacteria
Description: partial 16S ribosomal RNA
Rfam family: Bacterial small subunit ribosomal RNA
Source: RNAcentral